Molecule: ribosomal RNA, 602 nt
Filed under: Synechococcus sp. CBW1108
Lineage: Bacteria; Bacillati; Cyanobacteriota; Cyanophyceae; Synechococcales; Synechococcaceae
Description: bacterial SSU rRNA
Rfam family: Bacterial small subunit ribosomal RNA
Source: RNAcentral
CGGCUGGAACGGCCGCUAAUACCCCAUAUGCCGAGAGGUGAAACGAAUUUCGCCUGAGGAUGAGCUCGCGUCUGAUUAGCUAGUUGGUGUGGUAAAGGCUCACCAAGGCAUCGAUCAGUAGCUGGUCUGAGAGGAUGAUCAGCCACACUGGGACUGAGACACGGCCCAGACUCCUGCGGGAGGCAGCAGUGGGGAAUUUUCCGCAAUGGGCGCAAGCCUGACGGAGCAACGCCGCGUGAGGGAUGAAGGCCUCUGGGCUGUAAACCUCUUUUAUCAAGGAAGAAGAUCUGACGGUACUUGAUGAAUAAGCCACGGCUAAUUCCGUGCCAGCAGCCGCGGUAAUACGGGAGUGGCAAGCGUUAUCCGGAAUUAUUGGGCGUAAAGCGUCCGCAGGCGGUCUUGAAAGUCUGUUGUUAAAGCGUGGAGCUCAACUCCAUUUCAGCAAUGGAAACUAGAAGACUAGAGUGUGGUAGGGGCAGAGGGAAUUCCCGGUGUAGCGGUGAAAUGCGUAGAUAUCGGGAAGAACACCAGUGGCGAAGGCGCUCUGCUGGGCCAUAACUGACGCUCAUGGACGAAAGCCCGGGGAGCGAACGGGAUUAGUC